UGUGGCGCUGCUUACCAUGCAAGUCGAACGGAGAUUCAGCAAUGGAUCUUAGUGGCGAACGGGUGAGUAACGCGUAGGCAAUCUGCCUUCUAGAUGGGGACAACAUCCCGAAAGGGGUGCUAAUACCGAAUGUUGUAGUUGGUUCGCAUGGACUAGCUACUAAAGGUGGCCUCUGAAUAUGCUACCGCUAGAAGAUGAGCCUGCGUCUGAUUAGCUAGUUGGAGGGGUAACGGCCCACCAAGGCUUCGAUCAGUAGCCGGUCUGAGAGGAUGAACGGCCACACUGGGACUGAGACACGGCCCAGACUCCUACGGGAGGCAGCAGUGGGGAAUCUUCCGCAAUGGACGAAAGUCUGACGGAGCAACGCCGCGUGAGUGAAGAAGGUUUUCGGAUCGUAAAGCUCUUUCGUUAGGGACGAACGUGCUCUUUGUGAAUAAUGAGGAGUAAUGACGGUACCUAAAUAAGAAGCCACGGCUAACUACGUGCCAGCAGCCGCGGUAAUACGUAGGUGGCAAGCGUUGUCCGGAAUUAUUGGGCGUAAAGCGCGCGCAGGCGGGAUAUCAAGUCUGUCUUAAAAGUGCGAGGCUCAACCUCGUGAGGGGACGGAAACUGGUAUUCUUGAGUGUCGGAGAGGAAAGUGGAAUUCCAAGUGUAGCGGUGAAAUGCGUAGAGAUUUGGAAGACACCAGUGGCGAAGGCGACUUUCUGGACGAUGUCUGACGCUGAGGCGCGAAAGCUAGGGGAGCGAACGGGAUUAGAUACCCCGGUAGUCCUAGCCGUAAACGAUGGGUACUAGGUGUAGGGGGUAUCGACCCCUCCUG
This 820-nucleotide ribosomal RNA is filed under the name uncultured Anaerovibrio sp. Its description in RNAcentral is "bacterial SSU rRNA". It matches the Rfam family "Bacterial small subunit ribosomal RNA", at positions 38 to 843 of the family's 1533-position model. The record is from RNAcentral. Lineage: Bacteria; Bacillati; Bacillota; Negativicutes; Selenomonadales; Selenomonadaceae.